UUGCCUGUGUAUUUUUUCAGUAAACCUAUUCGUCUAUUUUUUGGUUGGCUGCGUCUUGAGAUUGUAUUGUGAGCCUUGUGUUAUGCUACAGAACAUACAUGACGCACCUCUUCUUAUUUCAAUGCUUUGAUUUGAUCAUUUCACUUCCUUCUUCUGCUACUGCACCUUGCUCUUCUCUCUUCCUUCGCUCCACCUCCUCUUUUGGUCUCUUCUACAAUGCCAUAAUCUCACCAAUAUAUUUGUAACGUAUGCUUCUCACAAGGUUAUCACAGGCUCUACUAAAGAUGAAGCUGGGGUUCUACUGAAGAUGAAGCUGGGGACUUUCUAUGGGUUAUUAUUUUGGCAGCCCAAGUGCAAUUGUUCUAAGUCCUUGGGAUUGUACUAACAAGUUGGCUGUUUUAUGAGAAUCUUGGCAUUAACAAAAUUAAGUUGUUUUAUGAAGAAGAAUUUUGGCACCAACAAAUUUAUCUAUCUGCGCCAAUCAAUAUGAUAUAAAAAAUUUAAUUUUUUUUAUUACAAAAUAAUUAGCUCUAAUAUGCCAUGGUCACUGCAGAGUUUUGGGGAGAAUUCUAACAUUGCCAUUGAGCAAAAAUUCACAAGUUAAGCUUCUAAAGCAAACCAUUACCUGCUGCUGGAUUUUAUAACAGCUGCUUCCAUCGAUAUUGCUUCUUCACUGUAUGUGCAUCACAGUAAACGGCAAAUUUCAAAAGCUGAGGAAAGUUAACCCACUUCUGUUUCAGAAAUUGCCCAGAAAUUUAACUUCUACAGCAAUAUCGAGUCUCCAGUUUUGGUUUCCUAAACUUAAGAAUUGAAUGCCAUCUAAACCACUCUUAAGAUGAGCCAUAAAAAGGGUUAAGUUUCCAAGUCCUGAACUAACAUCAGUCCAGAUUCAUAUUUGUCUUCUGCGAUGGAUAGACCUCAUUUGCUUUCCAUAAGACUUCUAAGCAUAAGGAGAAUUUCAUUUCGCAUAGCACCAACAGCAGAUGGAGUAACCUGCUCAUUCACAGCAGAAAACCAUAGACCAUCUCUGUCCUUGUGGUCAGAGUUUUCAUUCCAGUAGCAUAUCGCCCUUGCAAUUGCUGUAACAUAUAAGCCGCAAUCACAACCAUUCACUUGCUGAGGUGAAUUAGCAAGUUCCAUAUGCUUGGCAUGAGCUGCACCUAUAAAUCCCACAACAGCUUUAUAAAGUUGCAAAGCAUGCCUUUUAUUCAUCCCAGAAUAGCUAUCAUGAUGAACAAAGACAUUAGCAUUUCUCUCAUAUGCAAGUAAGCUCCAAUGUGACCCACCUUCAGCAAGGCUCACAUCAUCAUUGUUAUUGACAGGAAAUAUCACCAAUUUCUUGUCUUGUAAUUUAAGGGGUCCCAGGAAAUCAGUGAGAGACUCAGUAUCUGGGCAGUUUGAAAUCCAGAAAGCAAUUGAGGGUGCAAUCAAUAGGACAUCUUCUGAAGGAUUACUUGAAGAGAGAUAACUGAAGUAGAAUUCAAUGAUUCGAUCAUUAAUAAAAUAUGGACCACUGAGGAUGUCCAGGUCCGAUCGCCUAAGAACAACAUCAUUGUAGCUUAGAAUCUUUUCAUCAGCCACAGAUCUUUCCAUGAGAGCUAACUGAUGAAUAUAGCGAUGGUGAAUGAUGAUUGAGCUAAAAAUAAAAUAAAAAAGCUUUGCUUCCUGUUCUACGCUUGGCUGCUUCUCGUAAUCAGUCCGGACAAAGGAUUACAAGAGAUGGCUGAUGGAUGAAGACCGUGCCUAGAUUCCAGACGCACACAGAGAUAGGCUGCUUGGUGAUGAGGUUAGUCGUGAUUUGCGCCCUCUUACACUCUGUUUGGAUGUGGGCGAAAGAGAGGCGAACAAUGAUAA
This 1854-nucleotide unclassified non-coding RNA is filed under the name Hevea brasiliensis (rubber tree). The record is from RNAcentral. Lineage: Eukaryota; Viridiplantae; Streptophyta; Magnoliopsida; Malpighiales; Euphorbiaceae.